RNAcentral lists this ribosomal RNA (558 nucleotides) under Rhodotorula paludigena. RNAcentral describes it as "partial large subunit ribosomal RNA". It matches the Rfam family "Eukaryotic large subunit ribosomal RNA", at positions 86 to 656 of the family's 3401-position model. The record is from RNAcentral. Lineage: Eukaryota; Fungi; Basidiomycota; Microbotryomycetes; Sporidiobolales; Sporidiobolaceae.
GCGGCGAGCGAAGCGGGAAGAGCUCAAAUUUAUAAUCUGGCACUUUCAGUGUCCGAGUUGUAAUCUCUAGAAGUGUUUUCCGCGUUGGACCGCACACAAGUCUGUUGGAAUACAGCGGCACAGUGGUGACACCCCCGUACACGGUGCGGACGCCCAGCGCUUUGUGAUACACUUUCGAAGAGUCGAGUUGUUUGGGAAUGCAGCUCAAAUUGGGUGGUAAAUUCCAUCUAAAGCUAAAUAUUGGCGAGAGACCGAUAGCGAACAAGUACCGUGAGGGAAAGAUGAAAAGCACUUUGGAAAGAGAGUUAACAGUACGUGAAAUUGUUGGAAGGGAAACGCUUGAAGUCAGACUUGCUUGCCGGAGCUUGCUUCGGUUUGCAGGCCAGCAUCAGUUUUCCGGGGUGGAUAAUGGCGGUUAGAAGGUAGCAGCUUCAGCUGUGUUAUAGCUUUCCGCUGGAUACAUCCUGGGGGACUGAGGAACGCAGCGUGCUUUUAGCGGGGGUUUCGACCUCUUCACGCUUAGGAUGCUGGUGUAAUGGCUUUAAACGACCCGUCUUG